RNAcentral lists this ribosomal RNA (563 nucleotides) under Paenibacillus sp. P32E. Its description in RNAcentral is "bacterial SSU rRNA". It matches the Rfam family "Bacterial small subunit ribosomal RNA", at positions 1 to 553 of the family's 1533-position model. The record is from RNAcentral. Lineage: Bacteria; Bacillati; Bacillota; Bacilli; Caryophanales; Paenibacillaceae.
UUUGGAGAGUUUGAUCCUGGCUCAGGACGAACGCUGGCGGCGUGCCUAAUACAUGCAAGUCGAGCGGGACUUAUCCUUCGGGAUAAGCUUAGCGGCGGACGGGUGAGUAACACGUAGGCAACCUACCCUCUAGACUGGGAUAACUACCGGAAACGGUAGCUAAUACCGGAUAAUUCCUUCACCCUCAUGGGCGAGGGAUGAAAGGCGGAGCAAUCUGCUACUAGAGGAUGGGCCUGCGGCGCAUUAGCUAGUUGGUGGGGUAAUGGCCUACCAAGGCGACGAUGCGUAGCCGACCUGAGAGGGUGAACGGCCACACUGGGACUGAGACACGGCCCAGACUCCUACGGGAGGCAGCAGUAGGGAAUCUUCCGCAAUGGGCGAAAGCCUGACGGAGCAACGCCGCGUGAGUGAUGAAGGUUUUCGGAUCGUAAAGCUCUGUUGCCAGGGAAGAACGUCCGGUAGAGUAACUGCUACCGGAGUGACGGUACCUGAGAAGAAAGCCCCGGCUAACUACGUGCCAGCAGCCGCGGUAAUACGUAGGGGGCAAGCGUUGUCCGGAAUUA